Hevea brasiliensis (rubber tree) is the source of this 80-nucleotide small nucleolar RNA. RefSeq annotates it as small nucleolar RNA snoR117. The transcript has a single exon. The record is from RefSeq and is a predicted model, not a curated record. Lineage: Eukaryota; Viridiplantae; Streptophyta; Magnoliopsida; Malpighiales; Euphorbiaceae.
AGCCUGUGAUGCAUAGAAAAUGUGUCCGUACAAUCUAAUGAUUUCUAUAUCUUGAUGCAUUGAAAUAUUUUUUGAGGCCU